AGCGCUGAUUUAUGACCAGCCUGCUGAAAGCCCGUGGAAGCCGAGGUGGGGAGAGUGGCCAGCAGGUUGCCAAGCUGGCUGAUGACCCUCCUGGAAUGAGACAGGACCAUGGAAGACAUUUUUAAACAUUGUGUCAAGAAAGCAAAACCAAGGGAGGCACAAUCCCCCUCGACCUUGAUGCCGGAUUCGCACCUGCUGGCAGAAGGGAGGCCCAUGCAUCACCAACCCCCGUGUGCUGGUUCCCCGAGGCUCAAGGUCAUGAGAGUUCACCUGCCCAUCUGCGUCCAUGUGUGCUGCCCGGAUCAUCUCCUCCACCUCCUGGUUGUUCAGCUUCUUUCCCAGCCAGGUCAUUGCAUGCCGCCGCUUGGCGGUGCUGACCAGAAUUUUGCUGUCCUUGUCAAAGACGUGGAAGGCCUCCCAGAUGUGGUCCUCGCUGUCGCCAGCCUUCACCUUCCAGGCCAUCAGGCCCAGGAGCUCGGGGAAACCCACAGGGCCCCUGCCGUCGCAGUCCAGUUCACCCACCACUUUCUGGAGCUCGGCCUUGGAGUCCAGGACCAGGCAGCAGGCUGGCCAGCUGGUUGCACUGAUGCCAGCAGCUCUGGGAAUGGCCAGACCCUUGUCCCUACUGGCCGGAGCUGCGGGGACAGCUUCAGAGAGGGUGGUGAUUCCCUUCCCUGCAGGAUCUAUUUGUGGUCUUCAGUCCCAUUUAUACAUUUAAGGAUUACUGCAGACUGUAAAGAGCCUUUAAAAAUGUCUAUCAAUAUUUUCUGUGUUUGACAUGAGAACUAAUAAAAUUUUAAUAUAUGUAAAUGUAUUUUAUGUAUUCAUAACUUUUUGUAAGGCAUGUAGAAUUUUAUUAAAUUUUUUUUUACUGGAG
Molecule: long non-coding RNA, 877 nt
Organism: Bos taurus (domestic cattle)
Lineage: Eukaryota; Metazoa; Chordata; Mammalia; Artiodactyla; Bovidae
Source: Ensembl